RNAcentral lists this ribosomal RNA (502 nucleotides) under uncultured bacterium. RNAcentral's name for it is "partial 16S ribosomal RNA". It matches the Rfam family "Bacterial small subunit ribosomal RNA", at positions 36 to 507 of the family's 1533-position model. The record is from RNAcentral.
UCUUCCCUCUGGCGGCGUGCCUAAUACAUGCAAGUCGAGCGGCAGCGAGUUUUACACUGAAUUCUGGAAGCUUCUAGUUGCAAGAGAAGAUUUAUUCAAGAAUCUUGUGUAAAAUGUCGGCGAGCGGCGGACGGCUGAGUAACGCGUGGGAACGUACCCCAAAGUGAGGGAUAACGCAUCGAAAGGUGUGCUAAUACCGCAUAUGGUCUUCGUCUUAAAGCCUUCGGGCGAUUUGGGAACGGCCUGCGUAAGAUUAGAUAGUUGGUAGGGUAAUGGCCUACGAGUGCGUCGAUCGCUACCCUGGUGCAGAGGCUGAGCAGUGAGUCUGGAACUGAGACACGGUACAGAAUCCUACGGGAGGCAGCAGUGAGGAAUGUACCACAAUGGGCUAAAGGAUGAUGGUGCAACGACGCGUGAAGGAUGUAAGCAUUCGGGUUGUAAACUGCUUGUAUAUGUGAGGAUUAUGACAGUAACUAAUGAAUAAGGAUCGGCUAACUACGUG